CGGCGCACGGGUGAGUAACACGUAUCCAACCUGCCGAUAACUCGGGGAUAGCCUUUCGAAAGAAAGAUUAAUACCCGAUGGUAUAAUCAGACCGCAUGGUCUUGUUAUUAAAGAAUUUCGGUUAUCGAUGGGGAUGCGUUCCAUUAGGCAGUUGGUGAGGUAGCGGCUCACCAAACCUUCGAUGGAUAGGGGUUCUGAGAGGAAGGUCCCCCACAUUGGAACUGAGACACGGUCCAAACUCCUACGGGAGGCAGCAGUGAGGAAUAUUGGUCAAUGGGCGCAGGCCUGAACCAGCCAAGUAGCGUGAAGGAUGACUGCCCUAUGGGUUGUAAACUUCUUUUAUAUGGGAAUAAAGUUUUCCACGUGUGGAAUUUUGUAUGUACCAUAUGAAUAAGGAUCGGCUAACUCCGUGCCAGCAGCCGCGGUAAUACGGAGGAUCCGAGCGUUAUCCGGAUUUAUUGGGUUUAAAGGGAGCGUAGGUGGACAGUUAAGUCAGUUGUGAAAGUUUGCGGCUCAACCGUAAAAUUGCAGUUGAUACUGGCUGUCUUGAGUACAGUAGAGGUGGGCGGAAUUCGUGGUGUAGCGGUGAAAUGCUUA
This 597-nucleotide ribosomal RNA is filed under the name uncultured Bacteroidales bacterium. Its description in RNAcentral is "bacterial SSU rRNA". It matches the Rfam family "Bacterial small subunit ribosomal RNA", at positions 96 to 692 of the family's 1533-position model. The record is from RNAcentral. Lineage: Bacteria; Pseudomonadati; Bacteroidota; Bacteroidia; Bacteroidales.